ACUUUAAAUCGUACAGGGAACGGGCUCCCCAAGAAAGGGAACGUCUGAAAAGAUUUAAAGGAAGUACUCUUCAAGACAGAAGAGACAUGGAUAUUGUUUUAGGGCCCAGGAAGGAGACAGGAUUCACCUGAAGAGGCUGGGCCAGAGCAGUGAGCCGGCCAUGUGCUUCCAGGGACUGCAAGCAUUGACAUCACCUGCAGCAGCUGCUUGCCACUUUUUCCUUCUGUUGGGCACCAGGUUUCCACGUGCUGCUGGACCAUAGUUUGAGACUACACACCCCCAUCUGGACCCUAUUAAAAUGCAUCUCUUGACCAGUCACAGGAGGAGCCUGGGAGGGGGAGGAGAAGUCAAGGGAGAGGAGAAGUCAAGACAAGUUGACCUCAAAGGUACCACGGAAAAGUAAUGAUUAACACUGCUGCAGUCUGGGAACAGUUUAUUCAACUGCGGUGACGGAAACAAGGAGAAAGCCCUUCCUCAAACCCCUCGGCAAAAUCUGCUUUCCACUUCUGACUGAUGGUGGGAAGAAGAAAGACGCUGCAUUUGGAAGGACUGUCAGAAUCAAAUAUGUCUGAAAUCUUAAAUGCUUCUCAGUGUCUGUUUUGUGAUUUUUAAAAUUUUGUUUACAAAAGCUUUUCUCUUUCCUCCCCCUCUCUCCUUCUCUCUCCUUCCUCCCUUCCUUCCUUCCUUUCAGUGAAAAGAGGAAAGGAUAACAAAAUAUUGCUCAUUUGGGAAAGGUAACAAUAGAAAGCCAGCAAAAACUGCAUCUGGAUCCACCUUCCAAUGCAGGGGAUGUGGGUUCGAUCCCUGGUUGGGGACCUAAGAUCCCUCAUGCCACGGAGCACCUGAACCAGCACGCUGCAACCACGGAGACUGCAUGCCACAACUAGAGAGUCUGUGCGCAGCAAGGAGUAUCUCAAGGGCUGCAACUGAGAUCUGACACAGCCAAAUAAACAAAUAAAUAAUUAAAAAGAGAGAAGACUCUGCACCUGGGAGUAAGGGGAGAGCUUCCCCUUCCAUGACCGAGUGGAAGCCUAGAAUGUCAAAAUAAGGAGGGGCCUCAGGGAUCGUCCUGACUCAUCUUCUCAAAGAAGAUGGACCCAAAGGUUGAUCUCUCGCACAGGACUCUUCAUCACAGCACUGCCACUUCCUCUGCUCCAGGCUGGAAGCAGGCUGGGCAGAGCUUGUUAGGCAAUGUCAUGAGUUUUGCUGCAGCUCUCUCUGAAGCAGGGGUGACAUGACACGUUUGAACCUCUGAGCUAGAGCAUCCUCUGGAUCAUGCUGAGACUUGGUCAGCUUGGGCGGACAGGGUGGUUGAGAGUUUUGCACUCCAACUAUGUGCUGGGGUCUAAAAGUCCACUGUUUUAUGGAAGAGACUUGGAGACAGUAACUCAGGAGAAGAUCAAACAGAGAAGACUCCAGGGUUAUUCCAGGGUUAAACAAGACAGGAAGUGGAAAGGACCGCCAGGGAGGGCCUCAACCCAUGAUGCCUUCUACCAGGCUUCUUUAAGAACCAACCAGAAGAAAAACAUCUCAAGACAACAAGUAUCCUGUUCCAAAGAAUUAGAACAGAUCACCAGGAAUUUUGCACUUAAGAUCUUAUUUGUGGCAAAGGUAAGCCUAGGGUUCUUCUUAGAAUCAAGAGAUUGAGUGGAUUUUGGAGACAAUCUGACCUGAUGACUCCUUUCCAUGCAUUACUGGGAGUAGAUCAUUGGAGAGCUGAGUGUCAGCCAUUAUUCCGAGGCACCUUCAGAGGGAGAUUCCACCCAGCUGCCCGACUCAGUGUCCCACAGUCUCUGUAGUUCAGAGUUCUUCCCAGUGUCUUACUUAAAACCUCUCCUGCUUCAGCAUAAAUUGUUCCGUCUUCUCAGAGUGAGGGAGCCCUGCCAUGAGACAGAUGGCUUGAACUACAAAGCAAGUCUGCUAGCUGCUUCACUGGCC
Molecule: long non-coding RNA, 1938 nt
Filed under: Bos indicus x Bos taurus (hybrid cattle)
Lineage: Eukaryota; Metazoa; Chordata; Mammalia; Artiodactyla; Bovidae
Description: lncRNA (ENSBIXG00000014461.1)
Source: RNAcentral